CCAAGCACAGCAGCUCCGUUAGCAAUUUCCAGCACCCAUUCAGCUCUCUUGGUGGCAACCACGAUGAUUCUGGGAAGCUCCAAUGAUGAUGGAAGGCCUCAGCAUCAGCCAAACAGCAACAGUAACAAUUCAGAUUAGAGCCAGUAGCGCUUAUGUCAGAUUCCAAAACCCAGAAGCAGAGGCAGAACAACAUCUUCUUCCCUUGAUUCUCGCGGCGCUCCUCUUCUCUGUAC
This 233-nucleotide long non-coding RNA is filed under the name Arachis ipaensis. RNAcentral describes it as "long non-coding RNA (AIPA_LNC002479)". Lineage: Eukaryota; Viridiplantae; Streptophyta; Magnoliopsida; Fabales; Fabaceae. The record is from RNAcentral.